Molecule: non-coding RNA, 45 nt
Filed under: Schistosoma mansoni
Lineage: Eukaryota; Metazoa; Platyhelminthes; Trematoda; Strigeidida; Schistosomatidae
Source: RNAcentral
AUCCAGUUGAUGAGUCCCGAAUAGGACUAAAAGUGGGUCCUGGAU